RNAcentral lists this ribosomal RNA (497 nucleotides) under uncultured bacterium. RNAcentral's name for it is "partial 16S ribosomal RNA". It matches the Rfam family "Bacterial small subunit ribosomal RNA", at positions 28 to 507 of the family's 1533-position model. The record is from RNAcentral.
GAUGAACGCUGGCGGCGUGCCUAAUACAUGCAAGUCGAGCGAACGGACGAGAAGCUUGCUUCUCUGAUGUUAGCGGCGGACGGGUGAGUAACACGUGGAUAACCUACCUAUAAGACUGGGAUAACUUCGGGAAACCGUAGCUAAUACCGGAUAAUAUUUUGAACCGCAUGGUUCAAAAGUGAAAGACGGUCUUGCUGUCACUUAUAGAUGGAUCCGCGCUGCAUUAGCUAGUUGGUAAGGUAACGGCUUACCAAGGCAACGAUGCAUAGCCGACCUGAGAGGGUGAUCGGCCACACUGGAACUGAGACACGGUCCAGACUCCUACGGGAGGCAGCAGUAGGGAAUCUUCCGCAAUGGGCGAAAGCCUGACGGAGCAACGCCGCGUGAGUGGUGAAGGUCCUCGGAUCGUAAAACUCUGUUAUUAGGGAAGAACAUAUGUGUAAGUAACUGUGCACAUCUUGACGGUACCUAAUCAGAAAGCCACGGCUAACUACGUG